AUGGUGUCCGUUGGCAGCAACUCCGGCGUCAUUGAGCUGGAUGCUCUGGACUGCAGCUUCUGCUACGACUACCUCCGGCCGCCAGUCUUCCAGUGUGUUAUGGGGCAUAUUAUUUGUUCGUCCUGCUAUGGCAAGCUCCUGAACAAGGACAAGUGCCACGUGUGCUCCAUCACCGGCGGCUACAACCGCUGCAUUGCGGUCGAGCAGAUCCUAGAGUCUGUUCGGGCCCCUUGCUCCAACACCAAGUACGGUAACGGGUGCACCGUCAAGACACAUUACCACGAGCUGAAGGAUCACGAGAAGCCAUGCCCCCGCGCCCCCUGCUUCUGCCCUGAAGCCGGGUGUGGCUUUGUCGGAUCCACCGGUGUGCUCAUGCGCCAUUUCACGGAUGAUCAUGGCUGGCCAUCAACUGAGUUCAAGUUUGGACGUGAUUCCAUCCUGCAGAUCCAGGAAGGAAUGCAUGUUCUCCACAGCAAAGAGGGUGGCCGCCUGUUCCUGGUGAAAUUCACACCGGUGCCACCUUUCGGCAAUGCAGCCUCCUUCUUGCGUGUUCAUGCUCACGCCGUUGUGGGGGAGCGCAAGUUUAGGUGUCAGGUUGGUUACAACUGCAACACCAUUGGUUGGCAUCAGUAUUCAAAUCUCCAUCCCAGAAGCACCAAUCUGUCCAACGGCUUACCGGUGGACGAUGGCAGUUACUCACUGGUUGUGCCAGCUGUUCCUGAUUACUUACCCGCUGCUAACAGGUCGUGUGGAGAACAUCUCGAGUUUUUGACGAGCUCAAUGGUCACUAUCUCAAGGGUAUCUUGA
This 807-nucleotide ribosomal RNA is filed under the name Triticum aestivum (bread wheat). RNAcentral describes it as "partial small subunit ribosomal RNA". Lineage: Eukaryota; Viridiplantae; Streptophyta; Magnoliopsida; Poales; Poaceae. The record is from RNAcentral.